Molecule: ribosomal RNA, 406 nt
Filed under: uncultured bacterium
Lineage: Bacteria
Description: partial 16S ribosomal RNA
Rfam family: Bacterial small subunit ribosomal RNA
Source: RNAcentral
GAUGAACGCUAGCUACAGGCUUAACACAUGCAAGUCGAGGGACCGGCGCACGUGUGAGUAACACGUAUCCAACCUGCCCUUUACUCGGGGAUAGCCUUUCGAAAGAAAGAUUAAUACCCGAUGUAAAGGAUGGGGAUGGGUUCCAUUAGGUUGUUGGUGAGGUAACAGCUAACCAAGCCUUCGAUGGAUAGGGGUUCUGAGAGGAAGGUCCCCCGCAUUGGAACUGGGACACGGUCCAAACUCCUACGGGAGGCAGCAGUGAGGAAUAUUGGUCAAUAGGCGUUAGCCUGAACCAGCCAAGUAGCGUGAAGGAUGAAGGCUUAUGAGUCGUAAACUUCUUUUAUAUAAGAAUAUGUAUUAGAUGAAUAAGGAUCGGCUAACUCCGUGCCAGCAGCCGCGGUAAUUC